AAGGGGUACCUCGAAUGAAUGAAU
RNAcentral lists this non-coding RNA (24 nucleotides) under Cricetulus griseus (Chinese hamster). The record is from RNAcentral. Lineage: Eukaryota; Metazoa; Chordata; Mammalia; Rodentia; Cricetidae.